GGUCCUAUGGGGUAGUGGUUAUCCCACCGGAUUUUGAUGGACGAUAAUAAUACAUAUCGGCAAGGAGUCAAAAGCCUUCCGGUAACGCCGGUUCGAAUCCGGCUAGGACCU
Molecule: non-coding RNA, 111 nt
Organism: Aspergillus bertholletiae
Lineage: Eukaryota; Fungi; Ascomycota; Eurotiomycetes; Eurotiales; Aspergillaceae
Source: the annotation of a GenBank genome assembly